AUGCACGCUGGCGGCGUGCCUAAUACAUGCAAGUCGAGCGAACAGACGAGGAGCUUGCUCCUCUGACGUUAGCGGCGGACGGGUGAGUAACACGUGGAUAACCUACCUAUAAGACUGGGAUAACUUCGGGAAACCGGAGCUAAUACCGGAUAAUAUAUUGAACCGCAUGGUUCAAUAGUGAAAGACGGUUUUGCUGUCACUUAUAGAUGGAUCCGCGCCGCAUUAGCUAGUUGGUAAGGUAACGGCUUACCAAGGCAACGAUGCGUAGCCGACCUGAGGGGGUGAUCGGCCACACUGGAACUGAGACACGGUCCCGACUCCUACGGGAGGCAGCAGUCGGGACUCUUACGCGAUGGGCGAAAGCCUGACGGAGCAACGCCGCGUGAGUGAUGACGGUCUUCGGAUGGUAAAACGCUGUUAUUAGGGAGGAACAAAUGUGUAAGUAACUAUGCACGUCUUGACGGUACCUAAUCAGAAAGCCACGGCUAACUACGUG
This 496-nucleotide ribosomal RNA is filed under the name uncultured bacterium. RNAcentral's name for it is "partial 16S ribosomal RNA". It matches the Rfam family "Bacterial small subunit ribosomal RNA", at positions 29 to 507 of the family's 1533-position model. The record is from RNAcentral.